UAUCUGUCUCUCACUCCUUUUCCUAUCUAUUUCUCCUUCUUUCUCUCAUUUUUUUUAUCUCUUUCUCUCUCUCUCUCUCUCACGUUUCUGUUUUUCUUCCCCCUCUUUCUCUUCUUCUUCAUUCACUCUCUUCUCCCUUUUUCUCUUCAUCCUCGAAACAAAAGGCUACAGUGGUGCGAACAGGGGAGAAGAUGACGAAAGGCUAAUCUGGCGACGAUGUCGGAUUCGUAACGAACAUGUGGUGGUCGGCCACUGUUUAUGCAAUUUGAAGGUAAUGUUUUAUACCUUCACUCCAUGUUGCUUUUGAUAUAUUAUGCUCUUCCUCUUCAUCCUUUUUUUUCAGAUCCAACACUUUUGUGGCUUAGGUUUUCUAGAUCCAACACUUUCGUGGCUUAGGGUUUCCAGAUCCAACACUUCCAAAACGUUCUCUCUCUUUCUCUGCCUCUCUCUUCCUCUUUCUUUUAUCUCUCUUUCUCUGAUAUCGUUCUUCUGAUGAUUUCUGUGCAGAUGAAUAUGAUGUUGAUGGCGAUGUUGAACACGUUUGCUGAUGAUAUCGAUGAUGUUGAUUUUGAACCGCUGAUGGUUGUUACUAAGGGUUACGGUCGAGAAAUUGUUCGGGUUGUUGGUGACGCUCAAAGUCACAGCAAAUUGGUGAGAUCUUUCUUUGUUUUUCGUGUUUUGAGUUCUCUAAUUUCUCUUCUUCUCUCAAUAUUUUCUUACGGUUGCUUUAUAUUUGCAGCUUAGAAAUGGAACACUUACUGGGCGAUGACAAUAAAGACAUGCACCAGGGUAUGUCAAUGGGUAAAAGAUGUUAAAAAUGAAAUAUUUUUACUAAGAGGUAACCCCUUUUCAUGGUGAUUUUAUUUCCAAUCAAAUAAUGUAAAACAUGUAAGAGAAAAUUUAUUUAAUGGUUAUUGAUGAGGAUUUCCUUGAAAUCUGCGGAAUGGAGGGUUCGUUUCCAUCGGGAUUUAAAUGGGGAUCUAGAAGAGAGGUUCUCGAUUGGCCGACGUCGGUGUUAUCAAAGCAGCAUCUGCAGGGCAAUAGAAGUGUAAGGCAUGCUCACUAGCUCAUGAGAUCUCAAAUGGUAAUGUUAAUGAAUUAACUGAUCUUUCUCUGCAAUCAAUCGGUGGAUGACAAUAUUCAGUCCUUUGUUUAUGUCAUGGGCAAUGGAGAGAACCAUUAUGUUGCAUAUUUAGAUGAUACGUAUGAAGACACAAGGGGGCUGAAAAGGUAAAACUAAGGUGGUUUCAUCAUAAAUGUGCGGGACGCGAACGCUGACUCUUUGGUCCCGUACCAGAAUGAUGAGGUUGUCGUAGGGAUGUAUUUGGUGGCGACGUCGAGUUCUGCUUGAAGUUGUGGGGCUCUUAGACUUUGGUGCAAGGACCGAUUUGUUAUAGCAGCGGGUUUCUUGGAUAUUUUCCAAACUGGGUCCGAUACAAGCUUCUAAAUUCAUUUUGAAUUUCUGUUUGGAUUUAAUUUGUGCAGGGAGUUUCCUCUUGGAGCUGCGGAUUCAUUGUUUAGGUCUACGCGGUUUGAUGUGAGUUUUCGAACCGGUUCGAUUCAGUUGGGAUGAUGUGCAACUGUGUUUUUUUUGGCACAUGGUCUGAUUAUGCUUAAAUUAUGCAGGCUUGGGUUUGAUAUGCUGCAAGUUCUUUUAUUUAUAUGAAUAUGUUGUUUGAAUGGGGUUAAUUGUUUGGAAAUUUUCUUGUGUAAGUGCUUAUGGUGUACCAAGUGAAGCAAGGUUAGCAUGAUGCAUGCCUCUGCUCAACGUUGCGGUUUCAUACGUAUGCGGGUUGUAUGGUAUAUGCAAGGAUUUUGUAUAAUAGUUAUAGGUUAUCAUAGUUUUGUAGUUCUUGAAAUGAGUAGCCUGUAGCUCACAGUCUGCCUUGAGUAUGCAUGUGGUAAUGAAUUAUGGAACUUUAUUUAGCUCUGAAUUAUAUGUGAAUGACUGGUAUAUAUGCAAAUUCAAUGGUGAAUGAAAACUGAAAUUGGAUGGCACGACUCAGUGGUUGUAUGUGAAUUUUGCUUGGUAUUGGAGGCCUUAGCAUAAUGUUCAUUAAUAUUCAUGGUGGUUUACUGUACUAAUGUGGGAUAGUAUAUUUGUUUUGUGCAAAUUAAUUGAUAUGGCCUGUUGGAUGUACAUGGUGUGAACAUGGUUUCAGUUUGCAUCAGUUUGUAUGGCAAGUAGCAUAAUUUAUGCAAGUACGGUUUGCUUCGGAUACUGAAUAUGUGUACUCUUUCUUAUGUCGGGCUGAUUUUGGUGAAUUGAAUCAAGGUACAUAUAGAGCUGAGGUUCUGUUAUAAUUGUUUUGUUAGUAUGAGGUUCUGUUAUAAUUGUUUUGUUAGUAUGAAUUAAAUGCAUACAGUUAGAUUUAAGAAAUAAAGAUAUAUUUUAAUUAUAAAUUCUAAAUAUUAAAUCUAGCAAAAAAUGCAUAAAUAUUUUUCUCAAUGAUUAAAUGUCUUAAAUCUUAAUGAUUAUGUAUUUCAAUAUUUUUACUGUAAUAUAUAAUUUAAGAACUAAUUCAUUUUCAUUUCCAAGAUAAUUUGUGAUUUUUCUUUUUUAAGAUAGUUUGUUGUGACUGUGGUAGCUAUUAGAUUACCAUUCAAUUGCACCAUACACAAUCACUUAGACCACGUUAAUAAAGUGAUUGA
Molecule: long non-coding RNA, 2652 nt
Organism: Vicia villosa (hairy vetch)
Lineage: Eukaryota; Viridiplantae; Streptophyta; Magnoliopsida; Fabales; Fabaceae
Exons: 4
Source: RefSeq, a predicted model, not a curated record